Molecule: ribosomal RNA, 424 nt
Filed under: uncultured prokaryote
Description: bacterial SSU rRNA
Rfam family: Bacterial small subunit ribosomal RNA
Source: RNAcentral
UAGGGAAUAUUGGACAAUGGGCGAAAGCCUGAUCCAGCCAUGCCGCGUGAGUGAAGAAGGCCUUAGGGUUGUAAAACUCUUUUAGCGGGGAAGAUAAUGACGGUACCCGCAGAAUAAGCCCCGGCUAACUUCGUGCCAGCAGCCGCGGUAAUACGAAGGGGGCUAGCGUUGUUCGGAAUUACUGGGCGUAAAGCGCACGCAGGCGGACUGAUUAGUCAGGGGUGAAAUCCCGGGGCUCAACCCCGGAACUGCCUUUGAUACUGUCAGUCUCGAGUCCGGGAGAGGUGAGUGGAAUUCCUAGUGUAGAGGUGAAAUUCGUAGAUAUUAGGAAGAACACCAGUGGCGAAGGCGGCUCACUGGCCCGGUACUGACGCUCAGGUGCGAAAGCGUGGGGAGCAAACAGGAUUAGAUACCCCCGUAGUCC